GGAAACCGCAAGCUUUAUCGCUUUCAGUCUAAUGCAAGCACUUCAGAGCAGGGGAACUUUGAAGGUGUCUUCAUUGAAAAAGAUGAGGAAGUUGCUGAGUUUGUGAAAUACAUCCAGAGACACACAAAUCAUGUAAGAUACACAUAUAUAUAUUAGUGCUGUUAAUCUUGUUAAAAUGACGUUAAUGCCGUAACCAUAUACACUUACGUGUGUGUGUGUGUGUGUGUUUGUGUGUGUAGACAUAUAUGGAUGGGUCGAUAUUUUUUUUUUAUUUUUCUCUUGGUGUUGUCGUAAUACUAUUUACUUUACUUUAUCUUAAUGUGUACUUAAUUUUGUCACCAUGUGUAUUUAAAAAAAACAACAUGAUUUUUAUUUUGUGUUAUCAGUGCUGUCCUGGGGAGAUCUGAGGUCUUGUGUGACUCGAGGCUAAUUCAGCUAAUUGUUAUGCAUUUGUUUUAAAAAGUUUGUCCCUGAUAGGGCUUCAUCAUGUCAUGUCUUUUAUGUUAAAAUCUUUGAGUGUAUAGGUCCCGGGGAAAGGGUUGUGCGGAUCUUCAUCUUGGACUGCAGCAAAGGAGUCGUCCAAAAAGUCCACUGGGAAGUUGGAUGAGGAGGGCAUGGAAAUAGCUGUUUGUCGCCACGGAGUCCUCUUAGCUGCAUUGAACAUGUUUCGAGGGGAGAUCUUUGCUUACCCCCUUUUUCUCCAGAGGAAGUUGGCAGCUAGCGUCCCAGGACAUAUUACGUUCCUUUGCUCCGAUGUGGCCUGUAAAUAUUUCCCCUAUUUAACCAAGGUGGCUCAGCAGUGCCCUGAGCUGAGGAACCUCUUGUCAAUGCUUCCUCUUCUCUCCGUCAUGCAUGCAAAGCUCACACUUGGAAAUGCGAGGUAUACUGCAGCUUGUAGUUUUGGAUUAGUUUGAGACAUUUUGUUAUAAGGUUGAAUGAAUUCAGCAGUCAUGUAUUGUGACCUCCUUUCUAUAGAUCAAAUGGGGAGGUGCGUUUCAGGAUGGGGCCGGUUCAACAGUUGGAGAAGAGGUGGAACAAGUAAACAGUUUCCUGUCUAGGGCGGCCAUCACAACGAAGUACAUGUCUAAAGCAGGGCGAACAGACAUGCUGACCCUCCUGGCUUUGGGGUGGAACAAAAGGAAAGUGGAACAACUGGGCCGCACUUUGAGCCAGUGAUAUCUAAAGAUCAUAAGGAUCCUUAGAGAACAAGUGGAGCCUGAAUGCGAGCAGAAAUGAGCUGGGUGUGGAUGACGACACACUGCAGCAAUGGGCUGAAGAAAGUGAUCAAACUGAUGGCAGCCUUGGAGCGUUGCAGGCACGAAUAGAGGAGCUUGUCGUCAUCAUCAGAGUGCGAACACAAAGUCUUUACAGACAAAAUGGUGUCCCAGUUUCUUUGAAACGGACCGUUUGAUGCUGAGUUUGUACAGCUUGUGCAGCUACUUUGUAAACAGAAUAAAAUCAGAUCCAGGUUUGUUUGAGCUGGAUGUGAUUUGUUCCAGCAAACAAAUUGAUGAGUGUAGAUUAAAAUGUAACUAUAUACAUUAUGUGAAGGUGUGAAUUUUUUAUGCUUAUUUACAGAUAGCAACAAGAGGCGACACAGAAUUCGCAAGGUCAUCUUAGUUGAGAAGAAACGCUUGGCGGCUGCUGUUGACGACUACAACAAGCUCGCUGAACCAACAAAGCAAAUCGUAUCCAGUGAUGCCCUCAUGCAGAGCGACGUUUGGCCCUGGCAGAGCACAAGUGAACCUGCUGCUGACCUCCGGACAAAGAGAAAGGUCUUUGAGAAGGUGAUGGCUGUGAGGCGCCUGAGAGAGGAGGAGAUGAUGCUCUGCAGGGAGAUGCAGCAUCACUGGACAGUGUUGCGAAUGCGUUCUGUGGUGUUGGGGACAAUCUCCUCAGACUCCUCCUUUGUUGGCAUGUCGGAGGAUGCACAGAAGGGACUCUGUAGCCUGGUUUUAAAAAAACAAAGUGAACUGAAAGCUGAAAUGCUCAAAGUAAAGGACGUGUACAAGAGAAUCCUCAGCCACCAACCACUCCUGGAAAUGGACUCGGAGGAGGAGGAGGACAUUCCAGACGAUGCCACUGAGAGUGAUUUGAGCACUUCUGAUGAAGACUGAUUGUGUCAUCAUUGAUGUUUUGUUUGGUAAAAUAAAAAGUUAAUCACAUCUCUGUUCAAUGUGAUUUUUCAACAGACAUUUUACAUUUUGAGAAGAAAAAUGGAAUUCCCUUGGUGCAGUUGUUUACCCUGAAUCAUUAUUUCCCAUCUAAUUUAAUGACUAGUGUACAUGUUCAGAUACGAUAACAUAAUUUAAUUUAUGGGAUGCUUUCUGGGCUGCUCAAAUUAUCAC
Long non-coding RNA from Astatotilapia calliptera (eastern happy), 2348 nucleotides. Lineage: Eukaryota; Metazoa; Chordata; Actinopteri; Cichliformes; Cichlidae. The record is from Ensembl.